CAAGUAUUUAGCUAAACCCGUCGAGAGGCGGGGGCAGAAAGCCACGGGUCUUCAGAUAUAAGACAGCCGAGCUGCAAUG
This 79-nucleotide non-coding RNA is filed under the name Geobacteraceae bacterium. RNAcentral's name for it is "c-di-GMP sequence". It matches the Rfam family "c-di-GMP-I riboswitch aptamer". From Rfam's summary of the family: GEMM was predicted in a large-scale screen for bacterial structured RNA regulatory elements. Genes associated with GEMM are involved in a diverse array of functions, including chemotaxis regulation, signal transduction, secretion and chitin. The record is from RNAcentral. Lineage: Bacteria; Pseudomonadati; Thermodesulfobacteriota; Desulfuromonadia; Geobacterales; Geobacteraceae.